AAAAAAAGGAGAGAAGGACAUUCCUGGAC
This 29-nucleotide non-coding RNA is filed under the name Cricetulus griseus (Chinese hamster). The record is from RNAcentral. Lineage: Eukaryota; Metazoa; Chordata; Mammalia; Rodentia; Cricetidae.